RNAcentral lists this ribosomal RNA (457 nucleotides) under uncultured Methyloversatilis sp. RNAcentral's name for it is "bacterial SSU rRNA". It matches the Rfam family "Bacterial small subunit ribosomal RNA", at positions 923 to 1382 of the family's 1533-position model. Lineage: Bacteria; Pseudomonadati; Pseudomonadota; Betaproteobacteria; Nitrosomonadales; Sterolibacteriaceae. The record is from RNAcentral.
GCACAAGCGGUGGAUGAUGUGGAUUAAUUCGAUGCAACGCGAAAACCUUACUACCCUUGACAUGUCCGGAAUCCUGCAGAGAUGCGGGAGUGCCCGAAAGGGAAUCGGAACACAGGUGCUGCAUGGCUGUCGUCAGCUCGUGUCGUGAGAUGUUCGGGUUAAGUCCCGCAACGAGCGCAACCCUUUAUCAUUAGUUGCUACGCAAGGGCACUCUAAUGAGACUGCCGGUGACAAACCGGAGGGAAGGUGGGGAUGACGUCAAGUCCUCAUCGGCCCUUAUGGGUAGGGCUUCACACGUCAUACAAUGGUCGGUACAGAGGGUUGCCAAGCCGCGAGGUGGAGCCAAUCCCAGAAAGCCGAUCGUAGUCCGGAUCGCAGUCUGCAACUCGACUGCGUGAAGUCGGAAUCGCUAGUAAUCGUGGAUCAGAAUGUCACGGUGAAUACGUUCCCGGGUCUU